CCCUUAGAUGUUCUGGGCCGCACGCGCGCUACACUGACAGAGCCAGCGAGUUUUUAACCUUGGCCGGAAGGUCUGGGUAAUCUUGUGAAACUCUGUCGUGCUGGGGAUAGAGCAUUGCAAUUAUUGCUCUUCAACGAGGAAUUCCUAGUAGGCGUGAGUCAUCAGCUCGCGUCGAUUACGUCCCUGCCCUUUGUACACACCGCCCGUCGCUACUACCGAUUGAAUGGCUUAGUGAGGUCUCCGGAUCGGCAGCGGGGAGCCGGCAACGGCACUCUGUUGCUGAGAAGCUGAUCAAACUUGGUCAUUUAGAGGAAGUAAAANUCGUANCA
Molecule: ribosomal RNA, 329 nt
Filed under: uncultured eukaryote
Lineage: Eukaryota
Description: partial 18S ribosomal RNA
Rfam family: Eukaryotic small subunit ribosomal RNA
Source: RNAcentral